Molecule: non-coding RNA, 120 nt
Filed under: Chloroflexota bacterium
Lineage: Bacteria; Bacillati; Chloroflexota
Description: Chloroflexi bacterium MoCo sequence
Rfam family: Molybdenum/Tungsten riboswitch aptamer (Moco RNA motif)
Source: RNAcentral
AAAUGAAUAUUUCUCCGAGCCUUAUCUCCUAAAGGCGUCUGCCUAUGGAGAAAGGCUAACGGGCGCUACUGAAAACGGUAGCACCUCCCGUGUUUGGAAAGGAGGAACCAUGAUUAAAGU